RNAcentral lists this ribosomal RNA (433 nucleotides) under uncultured bacterium. RNAcentral describes it as "partial 16S ribosomal RNA". It matches the Rfam family "Bacterial small subunit ribosomal RNA", at positions 29 to 507 of the family's 1533-position model. The record is from RNAcentral.
AACGAACGCUGGCGGCAUGCCUAACACAUGCAAGUCGAACGAGACCUUCGGGUCUAGUGGCGCACGGGUGCGUAACGCGUGGGAACCUUCCCUUAGGUUCGGAAUAACUCCCCGAAAGGGGUGCUAAUACCGGAUAAUGUCUUCGGACCAAAGAUUUAUCGCCUUUGGAUGGGCCCGCGUUGGAUUAGCUAGUUGGUAGGGUAAAAGCCUACCAAGGCGACGAUCCAUAGCUGGUUUGAGAGGAUGAUCAGCCACACUGGGACUGAGACACGGCCCAGAAUCCUACGGGAGGCAGCAGUGGGGAAUAUUGGACAGUGGGCGAAAGGCUGAUCCAGCAAUGCCGCGUGAGUGAUGAAGGCCUUAGGGUUGUAAAGCUCUUUUACCCGGGAUGAUAAUGACAGUACCGGGAGAAUAAGCUCCGGCUAACUCCGUG